UACGUAGGGGGCAAGCGUUGUCCGGAUUUAUUGGGCGUAAAGAGCGUGUAGGCGGUUUGGUAGGUCCGCUGUGAAAACUCGAGGCUCAACCUCGAGACGCCGGUGGAAACCAUCAGACUAGAGUCCGGAAGAGGAGAGUGGAAUUCCGUGGUGUAGCGGUGAAAUGCGCAGAUAUCAGGAAGAACACCCCGUGGCUAAGGCGGCUCUCUAGUACGGUACUGACGCUGAGACGCGAAAGCGUGGGGGAGCGAACAGGAUU
Molecule: ribosomal RNA, 259 nt
Filed under: uncultured bacterium
Lineage: Bacteria
Description: partial 16S ribosomal RNA
Rfam family: Bacterial small subunit ribosomal RNA
Source: RNAcentral